ACAUGCUGCUCAUUUUGCAGAAUUAAUUAUGUUACCUUCUGUUGCCUGUGGCAGGGGAUUUUUCAACCGAUCCGUUGCUACACAAAAGUCGUCGCAUCCCGAGGACUUCCUCCAAAGAUAGCCAUGCCUUGCCCCUCGUUCCUAACCCAGUGGUGUGUUUGGAAGCAGGAGACACGAUCCUUUUCCAGCUUAGCAUCAAUUCCCACAAUCGUGCAUCCAGCCAUUACCCUGUUUAUCAGAAGCAGCAUCUAUAUAACAGCAACCCAAGCUGGGAUUUUGGACCCUUCCGAAGGCUAGACCACCUCAUCCAGGAGACUCAACUCAACAUCUCCUGGUUUGCCCAUGUUUUCCUGGAGUCUGGGACAUAUGUUUUCAGGGAUAGGACCAUCCAGGAACACUUUUUGAUUGUGACUGUGAAUGAAGCAAAUGUGGGCUGUGACCCCAGAAAUGUGUCCUUCCAGCCCUCUUCUCUGUUCCAGCUGGCCAGACAUGGGAUUUUGAAGCAGCAGGAUCUGAACUUAGCUCCUAACUGGGCUGCUAUCACAGUGGUUCUCUUUGUUCUGGGCUUCCUAAUUGUGAUGCUGACAACCCUGGCUAUAGUGCUGCAGCCUGCUGUGCCCGUCACUAGCCCCCUGAAGAGCUGGAAGCCACGAUGGAGGAGUCUGGGCGAGCCACACAUCCCACCGGAGUACAUCCUCCUUAAAGACAGCCUUCAGUUCUAUCAGACGGUUGGUCCUCAUGGUUCUGGAGCAGAUGCUGGCUUUGGAGAGAAAGGAGCUGAGCCUAAUGCAGAAGAGCGUUUUACACUGAGGGUUCUGGAGGAUUUCAGUGUUCGCACCCUGUACGAUAAGCUGGAAGAUCAGAAUUUGCAUCUGGCAUCUCAGCUGGCCAAACACAGGAUGGACGUGUUGGUGUUCUACGACGGAAUCAGCCAGCAGAUGCAAAAUCUCACGGUCAGUGUGAAGAAACAAUUGACAGAGGGGAGUCUUGGAACUGUGAAAUUUUUAAGAGAAGUGGUUGCCCUGAAG
This 1028-nucleotide long non-coding RNA is filed under the name Calidris pygmaea (Spoon-billed sandpiper). RNAcentral describes it as "lncRNA (ENSCPGG00000007385.1)". The record is from RNAcentral. Lineage: Eukaryota; Metazoa; Chordata; Aves; Charadriiformes; Scolopacidae.